GCCGGAGUGGCGGAAUGGCAGACGCAGGGGACUUAAAAUCCCCAGGGCUGAAAGGCCCAUGCCGGUUCGACCCCGGCCUCCGGCACCA
Molecule: transfer RNA, 88 nt
Filed under: Acidobacteriota bacterium
Lineage: Bacteria; Pseudomonadati; Acidobacteriota
Description: tRNA-Leu
Rfam family: tRNA
About the family: Transfer RNA (tRNA) molecules are approximately 80 nucleotides in length. Their secondary structure includes four short double-helical elements and three loops (D, anti-codon, and T loops).
Source: RNAcentral